UUUAUUUCAGCCCGUUAUCAUUUGAACCCAAUAAAUUAAAGUGGGUCUGAUCAACGACGGCCCACACACACACACCCUAUAAAGUAUCUAUUCGAAAUUCGAUUUCAAAUCACAACCCAUUCAAAAUUCGAAUUUCGAAUUUUAAACUCCCAACAAAUUCCCAACCAUUUUCCAAAAUACCAUCCAACAACCCAUUCGAAAUUCGAAUUUAAAUUUCGAAUUCCCAACCAAUUCCUAAAACAUCCUCCAAUAACCCAUUCGAAAUUCGAAUUUGAAUUUCGAAUUCCCAACUAAUUCCUAAAACAUCAUCCAACAACCCAUUCGAAAUUCGAAUUCGAAUUUCGAAUUCCCAACCAUUUUCCAAAAUAUCAUCCAACAACCCAUUCGAAAUUCGAAUUCGAAUUUCGAACCCCCAACCAUUUCUCAAAAUAUUAUCCAACAACCCAUUCGAAAUUCGAUUUUGAAUUUUGAAUUCCCAACUAAUUCCAAAAACAUCUUCCAACAACUCAUUCAAAAUUCGAUUUCGAAUUUCGAAUUCCCUAACCAAUUCUCAAAACAUCAUCCAACAAUCCAUUCGAAAUUCGAUUUUGAAUUCCCAACCAACUCCAAAAUAUCCUCUAAUAAUCCAUUCAAAAUUCGAAUUUCGAAUUUCAAACCUCCAACCAACUCCCAAAAUAUCUUCCAACUAUCCAACAACUGAUUCAAAAUUCAAUUCCCAACCACUCCCCAAAUAUCCUCCAAUCAUCCAACAAAUAAUUCAAAAUUUGAAUUUCGAAUUUUGAAUUCCUAACUAACUCCUCCUCUCCCAUUAUAAAUACGGGAACCGAAAUCAAAUUCUG
RNAcentral lists this long non-coding RNA (839 nucleotides) under Ananas comosus (pineapple). RNAcentral describes it as "long non-coding RNA (ACOM_LNC003421)". Lineage: Eukaryota; Viridiplantae; Streptophyta; Magnoliopsida; Poales; Bromeliaceae. The record is from RNAcentral.